CCCUAGGUAACUCUCCAGAUGUC
RNAcentral lists this non-coding RNA (23 nucleotides) under Arabidopsis thaliana (thale cress). Lineage: Eukaryota; Viridiplantae; Streptophyta; Magnoliopsida; Brassicales; Brassicaceae. The record is from RNAcentral.